CAGAGGCCUCAAGCGUUAGGCGGAAUCACUGGGCUUAAAGCGUGUGUAGGCGGAUCGUUAAGUGUCUUGUGAAAUCCCCCGGCUCACCCGGGGAACGUGCUGGGCGAUACUGGCGAUCUUGGGCCAACUAGGGGCGAACUGGAACAAGCGGUGGAGCGGUGAAAUGCGUAGAUAUCGCUUGGAACGCCGAAGGUGAAACAGGUUGCUGGGUUGUGCCGACGCUGAGACACGAAAGCCAGGGGAGCAAACGGGAUUAGAUACCCCGGUAGUCCUGGCCCUAAACGAUGUCCACUAGAUUGCGGCGGGUUUGACCCCGUCGCGGUCGAAGCAAAAGUGUUAAGUGGACCGCCUGGGAAGUACGGUCGCAAGGCUA
RNAcentral lists this ribosomal RNA (373 nucleotides) under uncultured organism. Its description in RNAcentral is "bacterial SSU rRNA". It matches the Rfam family "Bacterial small subunit ribosomal RNA", at positions 526 to 896 of the family's 1533-position model. The record is from RNAcentral.